Molecule: non-coding RNA, 571 nt
Organism: Misgurnus anguillicaudatus (oriental weatherfish)
Lineage: Eukaryota; Metazoa; Chordata; Actinopteri; Cypriniformes; Cobitidae
Source: RefSeq, a predicted model, not a curated record
CAAAACCUGCAACACAUGCAAGGUAGAGCAGCCACAUAAGCUUCGGGUAAAAAAGAACUGAAGAAAUUUGAUCAGAAGCGGGAGAGCUGUGUGCAUGAUGAAGAUAUGGAAGAUAUGCUGGCCUGGAAGAAAACCAAAUGCUUGGGGGUCUGAGGUUUUGACACCCCAUUGUCACUUGACUGAGACAUCCAUUACAUGCUUGGAAAGAUUAAAGAACCUAUUCAAGGCGGGACCCCACAAGGUGUUGCAGAACAAGUCAAAAAAACCUCAUCAGCCCGAGUUGAAUCCCCAACUGGACCAACCUGAUCUCCAGGUACCAGUGGCCCUGCCUCAUACCAGAGCAGCUCCAACUGUACCACCAGCAGCCCUUAUUGGACCACCAAACUCCCCAAUUUGACAGCCAGUAUCCCUUUUAGGACCCUCAGGACACCAUGCAACCCCACUGCAGCAAUCUGGGAAAAGAAACCCAUUACCCAGAUGGACCCCCAAGAGCCUCCCCAGUUUCUCUUGGAAAAGAUGGUGUGAAAGAAGGCUUUCCAGCUCUGACUAGUGCGGCCAGAUCAAAGGAAAG